UUGGAGGGCAAGUCUGGUGCCCGCAGCCGCGGUAAUUCCAGCUCCAAUAGCGUAUAUUAAAGUUGUUGCAGUUAAAAAGCUCGUAGUUGAAUUUCGGGGUUCUUCCGUUGGUCAGGCUAACCAGUCUGUACUAGCGUGUAGAAUCUCUACCUUCUGGGGAACCAUCAUGUUAUUAAUUUAGCGUGGUGGGAAACCAGGACCUUUACCUUGAAAAAAUUAGAGUGUUCAAAGCAGGCUUACGUCUGAAUACAUUAGCAUGGAAUAAUAAAAUAGGACGGUGGUCCUGUUUUGUUGGUUUCUGAAUCACCGUAAUGAUUAAUAGGGAUAGUUGGGGGCAUUAGUAUUCAAUUGUCAGAGGUGAAAUUCUUGGAUUUAUUGAAGACUAACUUCUGCGAAAGCAUUUGCCAAGGAUGUUUUCAUUAAUCAAGAACGAAAGUUAGGGGAUCGAAGACGAUCAGAUACCGUCGUAGUCUUAACCAUAAACUAUGCCGACUAGGGAUCGGACGAUGUUAAAUUUUAUUGACUCGUUCGGCGCCUUACGGGAAAC
Molecule: ribosomal RNA, 547 nt
Filed under: uncultured Glomeromycotina
Lineage: Eukaryota; Fungi; Glomeromycota
Description: SSU rRNA
Rfam family: Eukaryotic small subunit ribosomal RNA
Source: RNAcentral